RNAcentral lists this long non-coding RNA (1538 nucleotides) under Malus domestica (apple). RNAcentral's name for it is "long non-coding RNA (MDOM_LNC002158)". The record is from RNAcentral. Lineage: Eukaryota; Viridiplantae; Streptophyta; Magnoliopsida; Rosales; Rosaceae.
AACCGUUACUUCGCUCCCUCAGGUUCAUCAUUUCAUAAGGUGAUUCAAAUUCGACUCAUAACCCGUCUUAAAAUGUCCAUUUUUAUAAUAUACUGAAUCACCAUAAUAAUAGUUUUCCCUAAACCGCUAUAUUAGGGAGACUAAAUUCCUCUAACUAAGUGGCUUGCUACGAGGCGGUGUAGUUCUGACAGAAUUCACUAGAACUUCUCAAGAUGUCCAAGAUUGCAACCAUGCUCUGAUACCAACUGACACACCCCGUCCCGAAGGAGGGCAUGCUGGCCGUCACGUGAGAGUGACGUAACCAUUUGCACAGUACGGAAGCUUUAAGAUACAAUUUAUAAGUUGAUACACCCGAAGGUGAGUCCUAAUUUUGUCCAAUCUGUCAGAACACCGUCGAAUUCCUCGUAGUCACCACACCUUUGUGAUUCCUGAACCUGGAGGGGCGCAAAACCAAAAUUGAGUGGGUCAGUAAAACAAUUCUUUUCCAAAUCCAAACAUUUCUCAAAACGUUGUAACCCCUCUCCGUAAAACCUGUAUACUUUCCCCAGAAAUGUAAAAUAUAAAUAUACAUAUAUAUUCUCAAUACUUUAAUUCAUUAACUCAACAUUUUUUCUUUAUCAAUCAUGCCAUGCCAUGUCUAAUUCAACAGUUAAGUAUGGAUGCAUCAACAAUAAUCAUAUCAGGUGCAAGAAAGUAAUCAACCGGAGGCCCUCUAAUAGCCCUGUACGGUUGAACCUAGAGCUCAAAAUCUAUCACUAUCACUCUACCGGAGUCACCUCUGUGACCCGUCCGGCCUUCUGCACACAAGUUACGCUCUAGUGCUUUCUCAUCAAUCAUCUGUGCACAUAAUCUAAGGUCACCCACCAGUCGAAAUCUCACUAACACUCUUCGACUGGCCCGUCGCAACCCACUCCGCGUGGACUGUACGACCAGCAUCUACUUGGAUCCAAGGCGAGCGUGCGAUGCGGUGAAUACUAUAAGCACUAAACCAUGGUGCAGGAUUUGAGCUCAAUAUAUAUCAACAUCAUCAUAACAGUAAUUAAAUACUCACCUGAUACUCACCUGUGCGUCCGCCGCACCAUUCAUUCAUAUGCAUCAUAUCUCAAUUCAUACUUUUCAUAUCAUUUCAUGCAUGGCAAUUCGAUUCACAUUUCUAUAUACUUUUCAUAUACUUUUCAUGCAUGACAUUUCAACUAAUAUAUCUCAUAUACUUUUAUACAUUUUCAUUAAAAAGCAUAAUUUCAUGCAUUUUCAAUUUCUAGGAAACGGCAAGUAUAUAUGUAUACGGAAAACAAAACUGCCCACUCACCUGGAGUUCGUCCAACAACUCCCUAGCACCACACAUCAAGGCGUCACGACGAUCGCCGCCUAGAAUAGUAAUCAAAUCCAACCUCAGAAUUCAUAUCGAUAGAAUAUAACUUAUAUAAAAUACGUCACUACGUAGAUCGAUCCGGAAGAUCUGCCACUCAGAUUUUAAAUCCAUAACUUCCAGAGGUCCACAAUAUAUCUCUAGGAUAACAUCCUAAAAUUUCAUUACC